RNAcentral lists this ribosomal RNA (454 nucleotides) under uncultured Rikenellaceae bacterium. RNAcentral describes it as "partial 16S ribosomal RNA". It matches the Rfam family "Bacterial small subunit ribosomal RNA", at positions 341 to 792 of the family's 1533-position model. Lineage: Bacteria; Pseudomonadati; Bacteroidota; Bacteroidia; Bacteroidales; Rikenellaceae. The record is from RNAcentral.
ACGGAAGGCAGCAGUGAGGAAUAUUGGUCAAUGGACGCAAGUCUGAACCAGCCAUGCCGCGUGCAGGAAUAAGGCCCUAUGGGUCGUAAACCGCUUUUGUGGUGGAGCAAUAAGUCGUACGUGUACGGCGAUGAGAGUACAUCACGAAUAAGCAUCGGCUAACUCCGUGCCAGCAGCCGCGGUAAUACGGAGGAUGCAAGCGUUAUCCGGAUUUAUUGGGUUUAAAGGGUGCGUAGGCUGUGGUCCAAGUCAGGGGUGAAAGCCCGGAGCUCAACUCCGGAACUGCCUUUGAUACUGGAUUGCUGGAAUACGGAUGCCGUGGGAGGAAUGAGUAGUGUAGCGGUGAAAUGCAUAGAUAUUACUCAGAACACCGAUUGCGAAGGCAUCUCACGAAUCCGUCAUUGACGCUGAGGCACGAAAGCGUGGGGAUCAAACAGGAUUAGAUACCCUGGUA